UACGAAGGGGGCAAGCGUUGUUCGGAAUUACUGGGCGGAAAGGGCGCGUAGGCGGCUUAUCAAGGCAGGCGUGAAAUUCCCGGGCUCAACCUGGGGGCUGCGUUUGAUACUGAUGAGUUUGAAUGCGGGAGAGGAUAAUGGAAUUCCCAGUGUAGAGGUGAAAUUCGUAGAUAUUGGGAAGAACACCAGUGGCGAAGGCGGCUAUCUGGCCCGUAAUUGACGCUGAGGCGCGAAAGCGUGGGGAGCAAACAGG
Molecule: ribosomal RNA, 253 nt
Filed under: uncultured bacterium
Lineage: Bacteria
Description: partial 16S ribosomal RNA
Rfam family: Bacterial small subunit ribosomal RNA
Source: RNAcentral